CCUACGGGUGGCAGCAGUCGAGAAUCAUUCACAAUGGGGGAAACCCUGAUGGUGCGACGCCGCGUGGGGGAAUGAAGGUCUUCGGAUUGUAAACCCCUGUCAUGUGGGAGCAAAUUAAAAAGAUAGUACCACAAGAGGAAGAGACGGCUAACUCUGUGCCAGCAGCCGCGGUAAUACAGAGGUCUCAAGCGUUGUUCGGAAUCACUGGGCGUAAGGCGUGCGUAGGCUGUUUCGUAAGUCGUGUGUGAAAGGCGCGGGCUCAACCCGCGGACGGAACAUGAUACUGGGAGACUAGAGUAAUGGAGGGGGAACCGGAAUUCUCGGUGUAGCAGUGAAAUGCGUAGAUAUCGAGAGGAACACUCGUGGCGAAGGCGGGUUCCUGGACAUUAACUGACGCUGAGGCACGAAGGCCAGGGGAGCGAAAGGGAUUAGAUACCCCAGUAGUC
RNAcentral lists this ribosomal RNA (446 nucleotides) under uncultured bacterium. Its description in RNAcentral is "partial 16S ribosomal RNA". It matches the Rfam family "Bacterial small subunit ribosomal RNA", at positions 338 to 795 of the family's 1533-position model. The record is from RNAcentral.